AUGAGCCGGACCAAGUGGUAUGGAAUCUUGGGAAGAAUAAACGCUUCUCAACUAAAUGUGUAUACGCAUGUUUGGAAAGGCAUUUUAGCCGGCUGUGACUAUAGAUGGAUUUGGAAAGCUAAAUUCCGUCUUAAGAUUCAAAUCUUUUUAUGACAAUUAUUCUAGGAUGUCGUGUUGACACGAGAUGUCAUGAACAGACGAAACUGGGUUGGAAAUUAGAAGUGUUCCUUCUGUAUGGAUAGAGAAACCUCGCAACACCUUUUCUUCACUUACCAUGUUGCCAAGGUAGUUUGGAACCGUUGGGUGUGUCCUGGGCAUGGAAUUAUGCCCGAACAAUCCGUGGCAAUACUUCUCCUACUGUUAUAUCUUCUUGCCGGAUGGAUCUAA
RNAcentral lists this ribosomal RNA (387 nucleotides) under Triticum aestivum (bread wheat). Its description in RNAcentral is "partial small subunit ribosomal RNA". The record is from RNAcentral. Lineage: Eukaryota; Viridiplantae; Streptophyta; Magnoliopsida; Poales; Poaceae.